This 279-nucleotide ribosomal RNA is filed under the name uncultured bacterium. RNAcentral's name for it is "partial 16S ribosomal RNA". It matches the Rfam family "Bacterial small subunit ribosomal RNA", at positions 506 to 784 of the family's 1533-position model. The record is from RNAcentral.
UGCCAGCCGCCGCGGUAAUACAGAGGCCUCAAGCAUUAUCCGGAUUCACUGGGCGUAAAGGGUGCGUAGGCGGUGUUAUUAGUCGGGUGUUAAAUCCCGGGGCUCAACCUCAGAAUCGCAUCCGAAACGGUAACACUAGAAGUAGUCAGAGGUUAGCAGAACUCUCGGUGUAGGGGUGAAAUCCGUUGAUAUCGAGGGGAAUACCAAAUGCGAAGGCAGCUAACUGGGGCUUACUUGACGCUGAGGCACGAAAGCAUGGGUAGCGAACGGGAUUAGAUA